Molecule: ribosomal RNA, 484 nt
Filed under: uncultured bacterium
Lineage: Bacteria
Description: partial 16S ribosomal RNA
Rfam family: Bacterial small subunit ribosomal RNA
Source: RNAcentral
AGUGAACGCUGGCGGCAGGCCUAACACAUGCAAGUCGAGCGGCAGCGGGUCCUUCGGGCUGCCGGCGAGCGGCGGACGGGUGAGGAAUGCAUCGGAAUCUGCCCUGUCGUGGGGGAUAACCUAGGGAAACUUAGGCUAAUACCGCAUACGACCCACGGGUGAAAGCCGGGGAUCGCAAGACCUCGCGCGAUAGGAUGAGCCGAUGUCCGAUUAGCUAGUUGGCGGGGUAAAGGCCCACCAAGGCGACGAUCGGUAGCUGGUCUGAGAGGAUGAUCAGCCACACUGGGACUGAGACACGGCCCAGACUCCUACGGGAGGCAGCAGUGGGGAAUAUUGGACAAUGGGCGCAAGCCUGAUCCAGCCAUGCCGCGUGGGUGAAGAAGGCCUUCGGGUUGUAAAGCCCUUUUGUCCGGGAAGAAAUCGUCUGGGCUAAUACCCCGGGCGGAUGACGGUACCGGAAGAAUAAGCACCGGCUAACUUCGUG